UGGGGAAUCUUCCGCAAUGGACGAAAGUCUGACGGAGCAACGCCGCGUGUAUGAUGAAGGUCUUCGGAUUGUAAAGUACUGUCAUUGGGGAAGAACGGUUUUCUUGAAAAGAUUGAGAAGACAUGACGGUACCCAAGGAGGAAGCCCCGGCUAACUACGUGCCAGCAGCCGCGGUAAUACGUAGGGGGCAAGCGUUGUCCGGAAAUUAUUGGGCAUAAAGGGCGCGUAGGCGGGCCUUUAAGUCCGGUGUGAAAGAUCAGGGCUCAACCCUGAGAGUGCAUCGGAAACUGGAGGCCUUGAGGACAGGAGAGGAAAGUGGAAUUCCACGUGUAGCGGUGAAAUGCGUAGAUAUGUGGAGGAACACCAGUGGCGAAAGGCGACUUUCUGGACUGUAACUGACGCUGAGGCGCG
Molecule: ribosomal RNA, 411 nt
Filed under: uncultured bacterium
Lineage: Bacteria
Description: partial 16S ribosomal RNA
Rfam family: Bacterial small subunit ribosomal RNA
Source: RNAcentral